RNAcentral lists this ribosomal RNA (409 nucleotides) under Bubalus bubalis (water buffalo). RNAcentral's name for it is "partial 12S ribosomal RNA". It matches the Rfam family "Bacterial small subunit ribosomal RNA", at positions 801 to 1405 of the family's 1533-position model. The record is from RNAcentral. Lineage: Eukaryota; Metazoa; Chordata; Mammalia; Artiodactyla; Bovidae.
CCUAAACACAAAUAAUUAUAUUAACAAAAUUAUUCGCCAGAGUACUACCGGCAACAGCCUAAAACUCAAAGGACUUGGCGGUGCUUUAUAUCCCUCUAGAGGAGCCUGUUCUAUAAUCGAUAAACCCCGAUAGACCUCACCAAUUCUUGCUAAUGCAGUCUAUAUACCGCCAUCUUCAGCGAACCCUAAAAAGGUACAAAAGUAAGCGCAAUCACAACGCAUAAAAACGUUAGGUCAAGGUGUAACCUAUGAAAUGGGAAGAAAUGGGCUACAUUUUCUACACCAAGAACACCCAACACGAAAGUUAUUAUGAAAAUUAAUAACCAAAGGAGGAUUUAGCAGUAAACUAAGAAUAGAGUGCUUAGUUGAACUAGGCCAUGAAGCACGCACACACCGCCCGUCACCCUCA